RNAcentral lists this ribosomal RNA (2634 nucleotides) under Salmonella enterica subsp. enterica serovar Typhimurium. RNAcentral describes it as "bacterial LSU rRNA". It matches the Rfam family "Bacterial large subunit ribosomal RNA". The record is from RNAcentral. Lineage: Bacteria; Pseudomonadati; Pseudomonadota; Gammaproteobacteria; Enterobacterales; Enterobacteriaceae.
GGCGAUGAAGGGCGUGCUAAUCUGCGAUAAGCGCCGGUAAGGUGAUAUGAACCGUUAUAACCGGCGAUACCCGAAUGGGGAAACCCAGUGUGAUUCGUCACACUAUCAUUAACUGAAUCCAUAGGUUAAUGAGGCGAACCGGGGGAACUGAAACAUCUAAGUACCCCGAGGAAAAGAAAUCAACCGAGAUUCCCCCAGUAGCGGCGAGCGAACGGGGAGGAGCCCAGAGCCUGAAUCAGCAUGUGUGUUAGUGGAAGCGUCUGGAAAGGCGCGCGAUACAGGGUGACAGCCCCGUACACAAAAGCGCAUGUGCUGUGAGCUCGAUGAGUAGGGCGGGACACGUGGUAUCCUGUCUGAAUAUGGGGGGACCAUCCUCCAAGGCUAAAUACUCCUGACUGACCGAUAGUGAACCAGUACCGUGAGGGAAAGGCGAAAAGAACCCCGGCGAGGGGAGUGAAAAAGAACCUGAAACCGUGUACGUACAAGCAGUGGGAGNNNNNNNNNNNNNNNNNNNNNNNNNNNGGGCGUUAAGUUGCAGGGUAUAGACCCGAAACCCGGUGAUCUAGCCAUGGGCAGGUUGAAGGUUGGGUAACACUAACUGGAGGACCGAACCGACUAAUGUUGAAAAAUUAGCGGAUGACCUGUGGCUGGGGGUGAAAGGCCAAUCAAACCGGGAGAUAGCUGGUUCUCCCCGAAAGCUAUUUAGGUAGCGCCUCGUGAAUUCAUCUCCGGGGGUAGAGCACUGUUUCGGCUAGGGGGCCAUCCCGGCUUACCAACCCGAUGCAAACUGCGAAUACCGGAGAAUGUUAUCACGGGAGACACACGGCGGGUGCUAACGUCCGUCGUGAAGAGGGAAACAACCCAGACCGCCAGCUAAGGUCCCAAAGUCAUGGUUAAGUGGGAAACGAUGUGGGAAGGCCCAGACAGCCAGGAUGUUGGCUUAGAAGCAGCCAUCAUUUAAAGAAAGCGUAAUAGCUCACUGGUCGAGUCGGCCUGCGCGGAAGAUGUAACGGGGCUAAACCAUGCACCGAAGCUGCGGCAGCGAACGUAUCACCCAAGACAACUUUACGGAGUUGACGAUUGACGGAGCGAAGCGACGUCAAAGCGUUCAUUAAAGUCGAGUUGGCUUAGGGAUACGUUCGUUGGGUAGGGGAGCGUUCUGUAAGCCUGUGAAGGUGUGUCGUGAGGCAUGCUGGAGGUAUCAGAAGUGCGAAUGCUGACAUAAGUAACGAUAAAGCGGGUGAAAAGCCCGCUCGCCGGAAGACCAAGGGUUCCUGUCCAACGUUAAUCGGGGCAGGGUGAGUCGACCCCUAAGGCGAGGCCGAAAGGCGUAGUCGAUGGGAAACGGGUUAAUAUUCCCGUACUUGGUGUUACUGCGAAGGGGGGACGGAGAAGGCUAUGUUGGCCGGGCGACGGUUGUCCCGGUUUAAGCGUGUAGGUGUGUGUUCCAGGUAAAUCCGGUUCACUUUAACACUGAGGCGUGACGACGAGGCACUACGGUGCUGAAGCAACAAAUGCCCUGCUUCCAGGAAAAGCCUCUAAGCAUCAGGUAACANNNNNNNNNNNNNNNNNNNNGGAGCUGAAGUCAGUCGAAGAUACCAGCUGGCUGCAACUGUUUAUUAAAAACACAGCACUGUGCAAACACGAAAGUGGACGUAUACGGUGUGACGCCUGCCCGGUGCCGGAAGGUUAAUUGAUGGGGUCAGCGCAAGCGAAGCUCCUGAUCGAAGCCCCGGUAAACGGCGGCCGUAACUAUAACGGUCCUAAGGUAGCGAAAUUCCUUGUCGGGUAAGUUCCGACCUGCACGAAUGGCGUAAUGAUGGCCAGGCUGUCUCCACCCGAGACUCAGUGAAAUUGAACUCGCUGUGAAGAUGCAGUGUACCCGCGGCAAGACGGAAAGACCCCGUGAACCUUUACUAUAGCUUGACACUGAACAUUGAGCCUUGAUGUGUAGGAUAGGUGGGAGGCUUUGAAGUGUGGACGCCAGUCUGCAUGGAGCCGACCUUGAAAUACCACCCUUUAAUGUUUGAUGUUCUAACGUGGACCCGUAAUCCGGGUUGCGGACAGUGUCUGGUGGGUAGUUUGACUGGGGCGGUCUCCUCCUAAAGAGUAACGGAGGAGCACGAAGGUUGGCUAAUCCUGGUCGGACAUCAGGAGGUUAGUGCAAUGGCAUAAGCCAGCUUGACUGCGAGCGUGACGGCGCGAGCAGGUGCGAAAGCAGGUCAUAGUGAUCCGGUGGUUCUGAAUGGAAGGGCCAUCGCUCAACGGAUAAAAGGUACUCCGGGGAUAACAGGCUGAUACCGCCCAAGAGUUCAUAUCGACGGCGGUGUUUGGCACCUCGAUGUCGGCUCAUCACAUCCUGGGGCUGAAGUAGGUCCCAAGGGUAUGGCUGUUCGCCAUUUAAAGUGGUACGCGAGCUGGGUUUAGAACGUCGUGAGACAGUUCGGUCCCUAUCUGCCGUGGGCGCUGGAGAACUGAGGGGGGCUGCUCCUAGUACGAGAGGACCGGAGUGGACGCAUCACUGGUGUUCGGGUUGUCAUGCCAAUGGCACUGCCCGGUAGCUAAAUGCGGAAGAGAUAAGUGCUGAAAGCAUCUAAGCACGAAACUUGCCCCGAGAUGAGUUCUCCCUGAGAC